This 66-nucleotide microRNA precursor is filed under the name Chlorocebus sabaeus (green monkey). Its description in RNAcentral is "miRNA (ENSCSAG00000020016.1)". Lineage: Eukaryota; Metazoa; Chordata; Mammalia; Primates; Cercopithecidae. The record is from RNAcentral.
GGCUGCCUGGGAGGCUGGGUUGGAGGAGUCUGGUGGCCUCUUCUCUUCACCUGCCUCUGCCUGCAG